ACAAUUGAUUUUCAUUUCACGCUUAGGAAUGGCAAAUCAACAUGGUGAAACCAACCCCAUUGACAAAAAUCACGGUGAAAAAAAGAUAUCGAUGAAGAUUGACAUCCAGAAGAAGUUCAAUAAAACUGUAGUAGAAAUUGUGCUGAAGGAAGAAAAGGAGGUCGUGACAAUGGAUGUAGAGGAAUCGGGAUCGGGGACACUUGAUGAAGAACCAAUGUCUUGGUCUUCUGUGGACUGAUGGAGGGAGACAAGGUUCUCUUGGAUUUUUAGAGGAGUGAUCGCGGAUCACAUUUUGAGCACUUUGUUUAAGCCCGUCACCCUAACUACUACCGUUUAAACUUUUUAAACAACUGUUUAAACUUUUUAAACAACUGUUUAACCUUUAUUUUUUUAAACAAGUUGUUUAAACAGUUUAAACAAUUUCAAACAAGUUUAAACCACUUGUUGUUAGAGUGACAGGCUUAAACAUACGUUUUUGUACUGUAAAGGUUCCCUUGGAUUAUCAGGGCAUGCAGUGAUCGUGAUCACAUUCUUUAGUUGGGAGAGGGGAUGGGGUGUAUGGUAUUGGAUUUGAUAAAAGCAAGGUUCUGUACGAUCAACAGAGGAACGAUCCCUAUUACUUUACAAAUUGCAUAUAUCAAAAAUUUUCUGAAAUAAACGCUUGAAAUAUCUUACUAUAUUUUGCAUGUGCUGCAUUUAAUUGACUACGAUUUCCCCAAUCAAUUACCAUACCUGUAUGAUCUACUAAAAGCAACGCGUUUUUUUUAAUCAUGGUCUACGCAAGGGUAUUUUAAUGGGAGGGGUGCCGAAAUAUGCAUCUUAAUUUAUAUUCUUGUAUCCACGCAUGUUCAACAGAAGAAAUUCUGAAACACAUUUUCUUACACAACAGUACAUUAUUUUUUUUAUUCAAAAUAGUAUUCAUAAUGCUCGGUAAAGUAUGUUGUUGUUAAAUAUUAUUUGUCUUCAUUAAUUUUGUAACUUUCAUGUGUUGAUGUAUUUUUUUUUCUUAUUUGUAAGGCAUAUUUUUUUGUUUAAUGAACAAAUUAAAUUAUGUGUAAUAUAUACGGUAGUUCGUAUAAUUCAUUAAUUUAAUAUUUGUACAGCGCAUAGAGUCUCUUGACUAUUAUGCAUAUUAUUACAUAAUGUAAAUAAAAAAAACAUCUUGUUCAUAUUUGCGUAUAAACAAUGAUUGCACAUUUAUUCCUCUUGAGUGUAAUCCAUGUGAAAUUAUGAAGCAAUAUUAUGUUAUAUCAUAAUGCUGAAUGCACAAACAGAUGUCGUUUAUACGUUUGAAUAUAAAACACUGGUAGUCGAGCUUAAU
This is a long non-coding RNA of Lytechinus variegatus (green sea urchin), 1321 nucleotides long. RefSeq lists it as uncharacterized. The transcript is spliced from 4 exons. Lineage: Eukaryota; Metazoa; Echinodermata; Echinoidea; Temnopleuroida; Toxopneustidae. The record is from RefSeq and is a predicted model, not a curated record.